This 487-nucleotide ribosomal RNA is filed under the name uncultured bacterium. Its description in RNAcentral is "partial 16S ribosomal RNA". It matches the Rfam family "Bacterial small subunit ribosomal RNA", at positions 28 to 508 of the family's 1533-position model. The record is from RNAcentral.
AUUGAACGCUGGCGGCAUGCCUUACACAUGCAAGUCGAACGGCAGCACGGGUGCUUGCCCCUGGUGGCGAGUGGCGAACGGGUGAGUAAUCCAUCGGAACAUGUCCUGUAGUGUGGGAUAGCCCGGCGAAAGCCGGAUUCAUACAGCAUACGAUCUACGGGUGAAAGCGGGGGACGUUGGGGCCUCGCGCUAUAGGGUGGGUCGGUGGCUGAUUAGGUCGUUGGGUGGGUAAAGGCCUACCAAGGGGACGAUCAGUAGCUGGUCUUGGAGGACGACCAGCCACACUGAGACUGAGACACGGCCCAGACCCCUACGGGAGGCGGCAGUGGGGAAGUGUGGACAAUGGGCGGAAGCCUGAUCCAGCAAUGCCGCGUGUGUGAAGAAGGCCGUCGUGUUGGAAAGCACUUUUGUCCGGAAAGAAAUCCUUGGCUCUAAUACAGUCGGGGGAUGACGGUACCGGAAGAAUAAGCACCGGCUAACUACGUGC